AUCCUGGGGCUGUAGUCGGUCCCAAGGGUAUGGCUGUUCGCCAUUUAAAGUGGUACGUGAGCUGGGUUUAAAACGUCGUGAGACAGUUUGGUCCCUAUCUGCCGUGGGCGCUGGAAGUUUGAAGGGAUCUGCUCCUAGUACGAGAGGACCGGAGUGGACAUACCUCUGGUGUACCGGUUGUCACGCCAGUGGCAUAGCCGGGUAGCUAAGUAUGGAAGAGAUAAACGCUGAAAGCAUCUAAGUGUGAAACUCGCCUUAAGAUAAGACUUCCCUGGGGUUAAACCCCGCUGAAGGGUCGUUGGAGACUACAACGUUGAUAGGUCGGGUGUGUAAGCAUAGUAAUAUGUUGAGCUAACCGAUACUAAUUGCCCGUGAGGCUUGACUCU
RNAcentral lists this ribosomal RNA (386 nucleotides) under Burkholderiales bacterium. RNAcentral describes it as "partial 23S ribosomal RNA". It matches the Rfam family "Bacterial large subunit ribosomal RNA", at positions 2544 to 2925 of the family's 2925-position model. The record is from RNAcentral. Lineage: Bacteria; Pseudomonadati; Pseudomonadota; Betaproteobacteria; Burkholderiales.